AAAAGAAACCAACAGGGAUUACCUCAGUAACGGCGAGUGAAGCGGUAACAGCUCAAAUUUGAAAGCUAGCUCUUUUAGGGUUCGCAUUGUAAUUUGUAGAAGAUGCUUCGGGUGUGGCCCCGGUCUAAGUUCCUUGGAACAGGACGUCAUAGAGGGUGAGAAUCCCGUAUGUGACUGGGUGCUUUCGCUCAUGUGAAGCUCUUUCGACGAGUCGAGUUGUUUGGGAAUGCAGCUCAAAAUGGGUGGUAAAUUUCAUCUAAAGCUAAAUAUUGGCCAGAGACCGAUAGCGCACAAGUAGAGUGAUCGAAAGAUGAAAAGCACUUUGGAAAGAGAGUUAAACAGUACGUGAAAUUGUUGAAAGGGAAGCGCUUGCAACCAGACUUGCGCGCUGAUGAUCAUCCGGGCUUCUGUCCGGUGCACUCGUCUGCGCUCAGGCCAGCAUCGGUUUCGGUGGUGGGAUAAAGGCCUUGGGAAUGUAGCUCCUCUCGGGGAGUGUUAUAGCCCUCGGUGCAAUGCCGCCUAUCGGGACCGAGGACCGCGCUUCGGCUAGGAUGCUGGCGUAAUGGUUGUAAGCGACCCGUCUUGAAACACGGACCAAGGAGUCUAACAUCUAUGCGAGUGUUUGGGUGUCAAACCCAUACGCGUAAUGAAAGUGAACGGAGGUGAGAACCCUUAAGGGUGCAUCAUCGACCGGUCCUGAUGUCUUCGGAUGGAUCUGAGUAAGAGCAUAGCUGUUGGGACCCGAAAGAUGGUGAACUAUGCGUGAAUAGGGUGAAGCCAGAGGAAACUCUGGUGGAGGCUCGCAGCGGUUCUGACGUGCAAAUCGAUCGUCAAAUUUGCGUAUAGGGG
RNAcentral lists this ribosomal RNA (849 nucleotides) under Oculimacula yallundae. RNAcentral describes it as "partial large subunit ribosomal RNA". It matches the Rfam family "Eukaryotic large subunit ribosomal RNA", at positions 57 to 923 of the family's 3401-position model. The record is from RNAcentral. Lineage: Eukaryota; Fungi; Ascomycota; Leotiomycetes; Helotiales; Ploettnerulaceae.